GACGAACGCUGGCGGCGUGCUUAACACAUACAAGUCGAACGGUAAGGCCCUUCGGGGUACACGAGUGGCGAACGGGUGAGUAACACGUGGGUGAUCUGCCCUGCACUUCGGGAUAAGCCUGGGAAACUGGGUCUAAUACCGGAUAGGACUCCUGCCUGCAUGGGUGGGGGUGGAAAGCUUUUGCGGUGUGGGAUGGGCCCGCGGCCUAUCAGCUUGUUGGUGGGGUGAUGGCCUACCAAGGCGACGACGGGUAGCCGGCCGGAGAGGGUGACCGGCCACACUGGGACUGAGAUACGGCCCAGACUCCUACGGGAGGCAGCAGUGGGGAAUAUUGCACAAUGGGCGCAAGCCUGAUGCAGCGACGCCGCGUGAGGGAUGACGGCCUUCGGGUUGUAAACCUCUUUCAGCACAGACGAAGCGCAAGUGACGGUAUGUGCAGAAGAAGGACCGGCCAACUACGUGCCAGCCGCCGCAGUAA
RNAcentral lists this ribosomal RNA (478 nucleotides) under uncultured bacterium. RNAcentral's name for it is "partial 16S ribosomal RNA". It matches the Rfam family "Bacterial small subunit ribosomal RNA", at positions 28 to 523 of the family's 1533-position model. The record is from RNAcentral.